GGUUAAGCGACUAAGCGUACACGGUGGAUGCCCUGGCAGUCAGAGGCGAUGAAGGACGUGCUAAUCUGCGAUAAGCGUCGGUAAGGUGAUAUGAACCGUUAUAACCGGCGAUUUCCGAAUGGGGAAACCCAGUGUGAUUCGUCACACUAUCAUUAACUGAAUCCAUAGGUUAAUGAGGCGAACCGGGGGAACUGAAACAUCUAAGUACCCCGAGGAAAAGAAAUCAACCGAGAUUCCCCCAGUAGCGGCGAGCGAACGGGGAGCAGCCCAGAGCCUGAAUCAGUGUGUGUGUUAGUGGAAGCGUCUGGAAAGGCGCGCGAUACAGGGUGACAGCCCCGUACACAAAAAUGCACAUGCUGUGAGCUCGAUGAGUAGGGCGGGACACGUGGUAUCCUGUCUGAAUAUGGGGGGACCAUCCUCCAAGGCUAAAUACUCCUGACUGACCGAUAGUGAACCAGUACCGUGAGGGAAAGGCGAAAAGAACCCCGGCGAGGGGAGUGAAAAAGAACCUGAAACCGUGUACGUACAAGCAGUGGGAGCCUCUUUAUGGGGUGACUGCGUACCUUUUGUAUAAUGGGUCAGCGACUUAUAUUCUGUAGCAAGGUUAACCGAAUAGGGGAGCCGAAGGGAAACCGAGUCUUAACUGGGCGUUAAGUUGCAGGGUAUAGACCCGAAACCCGGUGAUCUAGCCAUGGGCAGGUUGAAGGUUGGGUAACACUAACUGGAGGACCGAACCGACUAAUGUUGAAAAAUUAGCGGAUGACUUGUGGCUGGGGGUGAAAGGCCAAUCAAACCGGGAGAUAGCUGGUUCUCCCCGAAAGCUAUUUAGGUAGCGCCUCGUGAAUUCAUCUCCGGGGGUAGAGCACUGUUUCGGCAAGGGGGUCAUCCCGACUUACCAACCCGAUGCAAACUGCGAAUACCGGAGAAUGUUAUCACGGGAGACACACGGCGGGUGCUAACGUCCGUCGUGAAGAGGGAAACAACCCAGACCGCCAGCUAAGGUCCCAAAGUCAUGGUUAAGUGGGAAACGAUGUGGGAAGGCCCAGACAGCCAGGAUGUUGGCUUAGAAGCAGCCAUCAUUUAAAGAAAGCGUAAUAGCUCACUGGUCGAGUCGGCCUGCGCGGAAGAUGUAACGGGGCUAAACCAUGCACCGAAGCUGCGGCAGCGACGCUUAUGCGUUGUUGGGUAGGGGAGCGUUCUGUAAGCCUGCGAAGGUGUACUGUGAGGUAUGCUGGAGGUAUCAGAAGUGCGAAUGCUGACAUAAGUAACGAUAAAGCGGGUGAAAAGCCCGCUCGCCGGAAGACCAAGGGUUCCUGUCCAACGUUAAUCGGGGCAGGGUGAGUCGACCCCUAAGGCGAGGCCGAAAGGCGUAGUCGAUGGGAAACAGGUUAAUAUUCCUGUACUUGGUGUUACUGCGAAGGGGGGACGGAGAAGGCUAUGUUGGCCGGGCGACGGUUGUCCCGGUUUAAGCGUGUAGGCUGGUUUUCCAGGCAAAUCCGGAAAAUCAAGGCUGAGGCGUGAUGACGAGGCACUACGGUGCUGAAGCAACAAAUGCCCUGCUUCCAGGAAAAGCCUCUAAGCAUCAGGUAACAUCAAAUCGUACCCCAAACCGACACAGGUGGUCAGGUAGAGAAUACCAAGGCGCUUGAGAGAACUCGGGUGAAGGAACUAGGCAAAAUGGUGCCGUAACUUCGGGAGAAGGCACGCUGAUAUGUAGGUGAAGCGACUUGCUCGUGGAGCUGAAAUCAGUCGAAGAUACCAGCUGGCUGCAACUGUUUAUUAAAAACACAGCACUGUGCAAACACGAAAGUGGACGUAUACGGUGUGACGCCUGCCCGGUGCCGGAAGGUUAAUUGAUGGGGUUAGCGGUAACGCGAAGCUCUUGAUCGAAGCCCCGGUAAACGGCGGCCGUAACUAUAACGGUCCUAAGGUAGCGAAAUUCCUUGUCGGGUAAGUUCCGACCUGCACGAAUGGCGUAAUGAUGGCCAGGCUGUCUCCACCCGAGACUCAGUGAAAUUGAACUCGCUGUGAAGAUGCAGUGUACCCGCGGCAAGACGGAAAGACCCCGUGAACCUUUACUAUAGCUUGACACUGAACAUUGAGCCUUGAUGUGUAGGAUAGGUGGGAGGCUUUGAAGUGUGGACGCCAGUCUGCAUGGAGCCGACCUUGAAAUACCACCCUUUAAUGUUUGAUGUUCUAACGUUGGCCCCUAAUCGGGGUUGCGGACAGUGUCUGGUGGGUAGUUUGACUGGGGCGGUCUCCUCCUAAAGAGUAACGGAGGAGCACGAAGGUUGGCUAAUCCUGGUCGGACAUCAGGAGGUUAGUGCAAUGGCAUAAGCCAGCUUGACUGCGAGCGUGACGGCGCGAGCAGGUGCGAAAGCAGGUCAUAGUGAUCCGGUGGUUCUGAAUGGAAGGGCCAUCGCUCAACGGAUAAAAGGUACUCCGGGGAUAACAGGCUGAUACCGCCCAAGAGUUCAUAUCGACGGCGGUGUUUGGCACCUCGAUGUCGGCUCAUCACAUCCUGGGGCUGAAGUAGGUCCCAAGGGUAUGGCUGUUCGCCAUUUAAAGUGGUACGCGAGCUGGGUUUAGAACGUCGUGAGACAGUUCGGUCCCUAUCUGCCGUGGGCGCUGGAGAACUGAGGGGGGCUGCUCCUAGUACGAGAGGACCGGAGUGGACGCAUCACUGGUGUUCGGGUUGUCAUGCCAAUGGCACUGCCCGGUAGCUAAAUGCGGAAGAGAUAAGUGCUGAAAGCAUCUAAGCACGAAACUUGCCCCGAGAUGAGUUCUCCCUGACUCCCUGAGAGUCCUGAAGGAACGUUGAAGACGACGACGUUGAUAGGCCGGGUGUGUAAGCGCAGCGAUGCGUUGAGCUAACCGGUACUAAUGAACCGUGAGGCUUAACCUU
Molecule: ribosomal RNA, 2905 nt
Filed under: Escherichia coli
Lineage: Bacteria; Pseudomonadati; Pseudomonadota; Gammaproteobacteria; Enterobacterales; Enterobacteriaceae
Description: 23S ribosomal RNA
Rfam family: Bacterial large subunit ribosomal RNA
Source: RNAcentral